This 503-nucleotide ribosomal RNA is filed under the name uncultured bacterium. RNAcentral's name for it is "partial 16S ribosomal RNA". It matches the Rfam family "Bacterial small subunit ribosomal RNA", at positions 30 to 523 of the family's 1533-position model. The record is from RNAcentral.
AUUGAACGCUGGCGGCAGGCUUAACACAUGCAAGUCGAGCGGGGUGAUGGUGCUUGCACUAUCACUUAGCGGGGGACGGGUGAGUAAUGCUUAUGAAUCUUCCUAUUAGUGGGGGACCACAGCUCGAAAGGGAUGCUAAUACUGCAUACGUCCUACGGGAGAAAGCAGGGGAUAAAUUGUGCCAUUGCGCUAAUAGAUGAGGCUAAGUCGGAUUAGCCAGUUGUUGGGGUAAAGGCCUACCAAGGGGACGAUCGGCAGCGGGGUUGAGAGGGGGAUCCGCCCCACUGGGACUGAGACACGGCCCAGACUCCGACGGGAGGGAGCAGUGGGGAAUAUUGGACAAUGGGGGGAACCCUGAUCCAGCCAUGCCGCGUGUGUGAAGAAGGCCUUAUGGUUGUAAAGCACUUUAAGCGAGGAGGAGGCUCUUUUGGUUAAUACCCAAGAUGAGUGGACGUUACUCGCAGAAUAAGCACCGGCUAACUCUGUGCCAGCAGCCGCCGUAA